CCUACGGGCGGCUGCAGUCGAGAAUCAUUCACAAUGGGGGAAACCCUGAUGGUGCGACGCCGCGUGGGGGAAUGAAGGUCUUCGGAUUGUAAACCCCUUUCAUGUGGGAGCAAAUUAAAAAGAUAGUACCACAAGAGGAAGAGACGGCUAACUCUGUGCCAGCAGCCGCGGUAAUACAGAGGUCUCAAGCGUUGUUCGGAAUCACUGGGCGUAAAGCGUGCGUAGGCUGUUUCGUAAGUCGUGUGUGAAAGGCGCGGGCUCAACCCGCGGACGGCACAUGAUACUGCGAGACUAGAGUAAGGGAGGGGGAAGCGGAAUUCUCGGUGUAGCAGUGAAAUGCGUAGAUAUCGAGAAGAACACUCGUGGCGAAGGCGGGUUCCUGGACAUUAACUGACGCUGAGGCACGAAGGCCAGGGGAGCGAAAGGGAUUAGAUACCCCAGUAGUC
Molecule: ribosomal RNA, 446 nt
Filed under: uncultured bacterium
Lineage: Bacteria
Description: partial 16S ribosomal RNA
Rfam family: Bacterial small subunit ribosomal RNA
Source: RNAcentral